CCUACGGGAGGCAGCAGUGAGGAAUAUUGGUCAAUGGGCUUACGCCUGAACCAGCCAAGUCGCGUGAGGGAAGACUGCCCUAUGGGUUGUAAACCUCUUUUGUCAUGGAGCAACGCCGGCUACGUGUAGCCGGACUGAGAGUACCUGAAGAAAACGCAUCGGCUAACUCCGUGCCAGCACCCGCGGUAAUACGGAGGAUGCAAGCGUUAUCCGGAUUUGGUGGGUUUAAAGGGUGCGUAGGCGGAAUGCCAAGUCAGCGGUAACAUCGCGGGACUCAACCUCGCUCCGCCGUUGACACUGGCGUUCUUGAGUGGGCGAGAAGUAUGCGGAAUGCGUGGUGUAGCGGUGAAAUGCAUAGAUAGCACGAAGAACUCCGAUUGCGAAGGCAGCAUACCGGCGCCCAACUGACGCUGAAGCACGAAAGCGUGGGUAUCGAACAGGAUUAGAUACCCCUGUAGUC
Molecule: ribosomal RNA, 460 nt
Filed under: uncultured bacterium
Lineage: Bacteria
Description: partial 16S ribosomal RNA
Rfam family: Bacterial small subunit ribosomal RNA
Source: RNAcentral